AAUCCCCAAAUCUCAUUUCAAAAUUCAAAUCCACAGCUCCCUUCCCUUUUCAUUCUCUCUCCGAUUUUAGAUCUGGAUUUGCUUUGUCUUUGCCUUGCGUUCACCAUAAGCCACUACUCCAUGGCUGUUCGAGCCUGUGUGAAUCAGGAGAACACAAAAGACGAAAACCGUUUUGCACUGCCGUUCAAUUACCUCGGCAUCCUUCGUGUCCGUACGUCGGCGAAGCAAUUAGAAACCCUAGCUGGUGUCACGUGUCACCAGCAUCAAAGUAAGAGGAAUUCAUCAUCAUAUGUUCAUGUAUUUUCAUAUUAUGAGGUUAAUUGUGUGUUCGAAAUCGUGAACAAAGUCUCCUGAAUUACAUAACUCGCAGAAUUUCAGUGAAUUUUGGGAUGCAAGAUGUGAUUUGAAGAAGACAACAAGAGUAUGUAGUUCAUGCAAUCUUUAGGGUUUAUCUGGAGAUUUUAUGAGGUACAAUCAUAUGCACAACAAAGGGGCCAAGGGAUGCGUAAUAUCAGACAACGGUUCAGUAUGUGAUGCAAUUACGCCAAUUUGCAUCUUUUGGUGUGGCACUGUAACUUAUGAGGUGUUUGCAAAAUGCAAAGAGAGACAGAAGCCAUACGAAGAAUUGAAGCAUUGCACAGUGUUCUUAAAGAGGUUAACCCUCUGUUUCAUGGUUUUAUAAGAAUUUGCUUGAUAAAGAACUUGGUGGAGGACUAUUCGUAGUGGCAUUUUAUCAAAAAAAUGUGUUGGAUGAAAAAAAAAACAAACAAAACAUUUUUUCUUACAUACAAUGACAAAAAGGUGAAAGUAAGUUACAUAUUGGUUUAAUAGAUUUCCGUUAUACUUAUUUUAUUUGCUUUAUUCUGUUUCAUUGGUGUUUUAUUCCUUAUAGGCCAAACGGGCCUAUUCAAGCAUUCCCACAUGCCAGAUGGAUCUCCUGAUGUGUAUGUUCACCCUAUGAUGCGUCCUUGCCAUUUAACGCCCAUUUCUCUCAAUUUGCACCCAGCCAGUUGGGUCAACAGCAGCGAUUCAGUCACGGGCGGUCAAUGGGUGCUCGUGGUGGUGAAUGGAAUCAUGUUAAGGUCCAGCCCCCACUUUCCAAUUACAGCUCAGCGGGUCAACGUUCCCACGGAAGCAACAACAAUGCGCCAUGGGGGCGUAGGGGCAACCAUCCGAUAGCGACCAAUAUUAUACCAUCUUCACAUGGUGGAAACAAAUAUGGAUGGAUUGCAUGAUGGUUACAGUUUGAAAUUUUAUAUAGAAAAUAUGGACUGUAAGGAAGGAAUGUUGUGAUGAUAGCUGGUAGUUGAAGUAUGACUUAUGAUGUGCAUUCAUAGUGAUUUUUUUUAUUUAAUACUUAUGAAACUGGCUUCCUUCUAUUUCUUCAUUUGUUGCUAUUUUUAUUUCUUCUUUUGUGGGAUGUCGAAAACAAGUAGGCGUAAAAGGGUUUGUUCAUUUUUGUUUAA
Molecule: long non-coding RNA, 1466 nt
Organism: Helianthus annuus (common sunflower)
Lineage: Eukaryota; Viridiplantae; Streptophyta; Magnoliopsida; Asterales; Asteraceae
Exons: 6
Source: RefSeq, a predicted model, not a curated record